GAUGAACGCUGGCGGCGUGCCUAAUACAUGCAAGUCGAGCGAACAGACGAGGAGCUUGCUCCUCUGACGUUAGCGGCGGACGGGUGAGUAACAAGUGGAUAACCUACCUAUAAGACUGGGAGAAAUUAGGGAAACCGGAGAUAAUAAAGGAUAAUAUAGUGAACCGCAUGGUUCAAUAGUGGAAGACGGUUUUGCUGUCACUUAUAGAUGGAUCCGCGCCGCAUUAGCUAGUUGGUAAGGUAACGGCGUACCAAGGCAACGAUGCGUAGCCGACCUGAGAGGGUGAUCGGCCACACUGGAACUGAGACACGGUCCAGACUCCUACGGGAGGCAGCAGUAGGGAAUCUUCCGCAAUGGGCGCAAGCCUGACGGAGCAACGCCGCGUGAGUGAUGAAGGUCUUCGGAUCGUAAAGCUCUGUUAUUAGGGAAGAACAAAUGUGUAAGUAACUAUGCACGUCUUGACGGUACCUAAUCAGAAAGCCACGGCUAACUACGUG
RNAcentral lists this ribosomal RNA (497 nucleotides) under uncultured bacterium. RNAcentral describes it as "partial 16S ribosomal RNA". It matches the Rfam family "Bacterial small subunit ribosomal RNA", at positions 28 to 507 of the family's 1533-position model. The record is from RNAcentral.